UCAGUUACCAUCUAAGCGAAAGGGGAGCCUUAUGAGUUUGGAGUUUCCUUUUCCCUAACCUAGCUAUAGGGACGAGAAGGGAGAGAGGUGAAUCAUUGUUGGUUGCAGCAUUGGAGAAAUUGAAUCAUUGAUCGAGUGGAAGGAGUGGACUCUGUCUCUCUCUUCGUAUCUUAAAAGACGAGGCCUAGAGAAUGGAGAUCGGAGGUGUCAACUGGUCAAUCGAGAGGAAAGGAAAAAAAGCACCAGCGACGACGCCAGCUGGGUUGAAGGAGGAUCCUAGAUCGUGGCGGUAGCUCGUUUGCGGUGAGAGAAAGAGAGAUUUGCGGUCAGCAGGCGGCUGUACUAAGAGAAGUUGGGAGCUCGCCGGGUCAAUUGGGUUUCGAUCGUUGGCAGCAAGAUCGGUUCACCAGAGCUGGAGGAUGAAGAAGGGUGGCUGCUUCAUUAUUUGCGUGAGUUGGGGGGACUUAUCUGUAGUGUCUAGAAAGUUCAGUGAUCAAUCUGCAACGUCUAGAAACAUAAGUGACCUUUUGAAAUUUGUGUAAAGUUGAGGGACUGAUUUGUAAUCUCUAGAAAGUUUGGUAAUUAAUCUACAAUGACUGAUUUUGCAAUUUGCCAAGCUAGGUAGUAAAAUGAUGAUUUUGCCCCAGCAAGUUUCAUCUUGUUGCAAAGGAGUAAUUAAAGCAUAACUCAUCCGUUUGACCUCCAAAUGAAUCGUCUGAAGCUGUGGAUUUGUGACAGCAAGGGGAAUCGCCUCAUGUCUUGUC
This 764-nucleotide long non-coding RNA is filed under the name Linum usitatissimum (flax). RNAcentral describes it as "long non-coding RNA (LUSI_LNC004927)". Lineage: Eukaryota; Viridiplantae; Streptophyta; Magnoliopsida; Malpighiales; Linaceae. The record is from RNAcentral.